Molecule: ribosomal RNA, 427 nt
Filed under: uncultured bacterium
Lineage: Bacteria
Description: bacterial SSU rRNA
Rfam family: Bacterial small subunit ribosomal RNA
Source: RNAcentral
UAGGGAAUAUUGGGCAAUGGGGGCAACCCUGAUCCAGCCAUGCCGCGUGAGUGAAGAAGGCCCUCGGGUUGUAAAGCUCUUUUGUCCGGAAAGAAAAGCUUCGGGUUAAUACCCCGGGGUUCUGACGGUACCGGAAGAAUAAGCACCGGCUAACUUCGUGCCAGCAGCCGCGGUAAUACGAAGGGUGCAAGCGUUACUCGGAAUUACUGGGCGUAAAGCGUGCGUAGGUGGUUGUUUAAGUCUGAUGUGAAAGCCCUGGGCUCAACCUGGGAAUGGCAUUGGAAACUGGGCAGCUAGAGUGCGGUAGAGGGUAGUGGAAUUCCCGGUGUAGCGGUGAAAUGCGUAGAGAUCGGGAGGAACAGCUGUGGCGAAGGCGACUGCCUGGACCAGCACUGACACUGAGGCACGAAAGCGUGGGGAGCAAACA